UGUCAAUUAACAUGUAUCAUUAAUAUGUAUAAUGUAAAGAUAUAAAAAUCACAAACAUCUGUGUGUCCACGGGCACUGAUCUGGGCCUUCUGCUGCCCCUGUGCCCCGCUGCUUCCAAUAAAGCACUGACAUAUAAUUGCCUUUGUGUGGUUAUAUGUUUUCUGAAUGCUAACAUACCUAAAGCUCUGGAAUAAUAAAAAAAUCAUGUAGAAAUAAAUUCAUUUAUUUCUACAUGAUUCCCAGUGUGGGAAUGGCUCUGUAACACCUCUGAACUGUCUCCACCAGUUAUCUUUGAUGUUCAUGCUGUCGGUGCUCCUAUUGACCCAUCAGCUGCCUCCCACCCAUGCAGUGCCCACAAGCCUCCCACGGAUGCAUCAACAUCCUCCAAAAGUCUUUCAAACAGUUUUUGUUCUCUCCUAGCUGGGGUCAGGAGUAGGUUCACCUCUCCAGGGUGUUUGCAUGGCAUUGCUGCGGUAUCUCCCACAUUCCUCCCUCCUGUGUGGGAGGACAGGCAUGGAAUCGUGAGGAAUUUGACCAUUUUAUUCCCUCUCCUGCCUGCAGAAACCACUGUCAAUCCUGGAAAGGCUUCAGUCUUCUGCAAGGCUCCCUGGCUCUGGGCUGGCUCCAGUCCUGCUCUGGAGACUGCUCUGUUACCUCUAGGAUGGCCCAGGGUGGUCUCUCCUCUUCCUCUAGGCACUGGUGGAAGAGGACACCAAGAUGGAUGAAGGUUUUCCACACAGCAGACCCAAGCCUCUGUGGGAACCCCAAGGACCAAGGUGGAAGGCAUCAGGAUCCAAUGGGACUCGUGGCUGCAGUGGUGGCUACCAAACCCCUGCAGCUUUUGCUGUGCCAGCAGGGAGGUUCCUUUCCUGUGGGAUCACCUCUUCUUCCUCACUGCUGGUGCUGAGUCUCUCAACUGGGUUCUUCCCAGUUGGCUCCACUUCCCCCAUGUCAGAGUGUGCCAUGAGUGUGGCUGCUGCUCAGCAACAAAAAAUCAUGAUACAGGUUAUAAAAACACCAGAAGUGAUGGGAAAGGGGUGUUUUCCUCCUGGUGGGACAUCUCCAAGAAGCUCCAUAUCUGAGGGGAUGGCCCAGGAGGCCAACUGGAGCUUCACUGUCCUCCUCUCCUGGUGGCUUGGCCCAAGAACUCAGCAGAGGAGAGAGCAGAGCAUCCCCAUGAUCUGCCGGGGUGGAUUCGGGCUCAUCUGCUCCAGUCUGCAGCCUGAUUGCUGAGGUGGGACCAGGAAGGGGAGUCUUCUGUUUACUCACAUAGUUUCAAGGGUUAAAUCCUGGUGUCUCCAUCUCCCUUCAGGAACCUGGGAAUGGGGAUAUCUUGUUUCCUUCGUGUCCACAUCCACCAAAUAACUCCCUCCUGCUUCUGCUCAGGCCUGCCAGUCCUGACCCUGGAGCUUGGCCAACCCUUGGCCAGCCUGUCCCCAGGAACUGCCUGCUACCCUGUGCCUUGGAUGUGGGACCAACACCUCGCUGGUGGGUUUUCUUCCUCCACAACCAUUGGCUGAAGCAGAGGAUCCAGGAAAAUAUCAGGCCUCUGUGAGCUUCUACACCCAGCAGAGUGAGUGGCGAUGGUCUUGGUGUCCUGGGUGGCUUCAUCUUCCAGGAAUUGCUUUUUGAAGCCACCCUCAUUCUCCUGCAUCAGGAGAAAUCCUAUGGAGAAACAUCUUUGGUCAUGCAGGAUGCAUUGGAUGGUCCUGGGUUUUGCACAAGAGGCAGUGAGUCAUCCCUGCCUCAUCACUAUCUUCUCUGGACUCAUCGGGAUAUCACAGACCUCGGUCACGUCUGCCCUUGGUGCCCCCUUCCCAGCCUGUUUCACCACCGUUUUCACAGCACCCUGAGUUUUGGAGGAAGUGAGCUGGGGACAGCCACUCUUCGAGGGUGUUUUCCAUGGAAGCUGCCGGGGGAAGGAUGCUCGUGGGAUUUGGGAAGCCGCCCUUGUUUGCAGGGUGUGAGGAGCCUGGUCUGGGAACAUCUUGUGCUGCCGGCAGUGGGAGGCGGUGGUGGCUCCGGACGCUGUUGCUGCUCCGCUGAGCAAACCCGUGGGCGCAGGGAGCUGUUGGAGCGGGAGCACCCUGGGUUUUGCCAGGGAUGCUGCUGGCCUGUCCCGCCUGUAGGAGCUGAGGCAGCCGAGCCUGCCACGUACCCGAGAGCUGGGGAUGAACCUGAAGCCGCUCCUUGAGCUGGGAGCCGGCCAAGUUCUACUGGCCAAGUGUCUUCUCUAUUCCCUUCUAGGCUUUUUCCAUGCCUGGGUGUAUUUCCACAGUGUGGAGACGGGUGGAAAAUUACUGGUGAUGCUCCAGUGCCAGGUCCCUGCCCUGGCAGAGGUGAGCUAAGGCCAAGCACUCAUCCAGGGAACUCCUCAUCACGAGAUGCUGCUGGGGCUGGAAUGCCUUGAACAAGCAGCUAAGUAGUUAAAAAAACAAAAACAACAAAAAACAACAACAACCACACACACACACAAAAAAAAGCUACUAAAAAUAAGUAAGUCCUUUUUUUCUGUUUUGUUUUCUGCUUAAAAAUGUUUCUCUGAAGAGAUCCGUCCAUGACAGCCCACUGAAGUUUUUGCAGCCCAACAGCUGCUUGGGUUCUGCUCCUCAAAAGUACCAUGAGAAAGUACAAAUACAUCCCAAGCAGAGCAGAUAAACCAGGUUAAACGAUGUGCACCAACAUCCACAGCCCCAAAUCCCUGUGAUCCCACCCUCAGGGAGGAAAGCAGCAGUGGGAGAGAGCUUGGGAUGACAGGGAGCAGGUGGGUUUGGUGCAAUGGCUCAGGAUGGGAUGGAUGGAGGGAUGGAUGGAUGGACAGACAGAUGGAUGGAUGUUUAGAGGAGCAGGAAGACCUCCUUUCUGCUGCCCAAGGCAUGAUUCACAGCCCACAGGCUGCUCCUCCAAGGAAGCAGAGGGAACACCACAAUCCUCCUGUCAUGGGAAAACCCCGAUUUCAACACGCAAACCAAGGAGCUGAGGUUGGGGUGCUGCAUCCCUGGGAUCCCUGGGAGUCUCCAUCCCAGCGUGGUUCCCCACCUCCAGGCUCAGAGAUGCUCAUCUAACCCAGUUUCCCCACGGCAGGACUGGUGGGAGGGAUGGAGCGUGCCCUGCUCACAUCCAGCUCACUGGAAAAUCCCCUUGGCUGGGACAGAAGAAGCACAUGGACAUCACAUCCCUCAGACUGCUGAUCCAGGCCUCUCCUCUCCUCUGCAAUGGCACCUCCAGCCUUCCUCUUUUUCUCCUGAAACUGCUGAUCUGGCCCAUAUUUGUGAGCUGUUUUAAAGGCAGUCCGAAGAUCCCUCACCUGCCUCACGACCAUCACCAAAGGACUGAAACCCUAAAGCACAGAAGCUCUGGCCCGGCUGAGGUGGGAUGUCUGCCCAGCACUGCCUGCAGGUGUGCUCGCCGGACCAGGAACCAGGAUGCACGAGCAUGGGAAGGAACAGUGGGCAGGGCCUGUGCUUGCCCAGAAUGGCCUGUCCUGUACCUGUUCCCUUGAUGAUCUCCCCACCUUUCGGGCAGCUGCCUGUCCCUUUGGAAAGGCUAUAGACUCCCUGACUAAACCAAACUAAACCUUCCCCACAGAAGAAGACGGAUCCAUUGGUGGAUGACCACGAGGACUUCAUCUCAUCUGUUGGUAGCUAUUCCCCCCCUCUCCUUCUCUCCUUCCCUCUCUUUGUCUCUCUCUCUCUCUCUCUCUCUCUCUCUCCCUCCUCUGUUGCAUUUCCUGUUGUGUGCACUCAAUAAAGGUGCAUUGUUCUGAUUUAAACAGGAAUCCCCUGUGUCUUUUUGCACUCUGAGAUCAAUAAACGAACCAUCACGAUGCCCGCUUGCAUUAGUGGAUCAUGACAAGCUGUUUUAGGGAAUUUCACUUCCAGCCAGGAAGGGCAAGCCCAGGUGUUUGGAUGCCCAUCAAAGGAGAACAUCUGCUUGGCAAACAUAGCAAAGGCAUUCAUCACCUUCAGACACCUCUCUUCCCACCCAACAAUUUUCAGUGCCCAAAAAGGAAAACAAAAUAACAAAUGAGUGAGGCUCUUGGCUGUGCCUGCUGCAGCAUCCCUGGAUGGGGCUGCAGGAGCUUCUCUGGCCCAGCUGGGGACAGGACAUCC
Prinia subflava (tawny-flanked prinia) is the source of this 4112-nucleotide long non-coding RNA. RefSeq lists it as uncharacterized. The record is from RefSeq and is a predicted model, not a curated record. NCBI's taxonomy places the organism in Eukaryota, Metazoa, Chordata, Aves, Passeriformes, Cisticolidae. The transcript is spliced from 3 exons.